This 64-nucleotide signal recognition particle RNA is filed under the name Clostridia bacterium. RNAcentral's name for it is "partial signal recognition particle sRNA small type". It matches the Rfam family "Bacterial small signal recognition particle RNA", at positions 1 to 63 of the family's 97-position model. From Rfam's summary of the family: The signal recognition particle (SRP) is a universally conserved ribonucleoprotein involved in the co-translational targeting of proteins to membranes. Archaeal SRP consists of a 7S RNA and homologues of the eukaryotic SRP19 and SRP54 proteins. Lineage: Bacteria; Bacillati; Bacillota; Clostridia. The record is from RNAcentral.
GAUUGGGUCCCGUGCGGCGUCAUGCUGUGAAUCUUGUCAGGGCCGGAAGGCAGCAGCAAUAAGC